RNAcentral lists this ribosomal RNA (460 nucleotides) under uncultured bacterium. RNAcentral's name for it is "partial 16S ribosomal RNA". It matches the Rfam family "Bacterial small subunit ribosomal RNA", at positions 338 to 795 of the family's 1533-position model. The record is from RNAcentral.
CCUACGGGAGGCAGCAGUGAGGAAUAUUGGUCAAUGGACGAGAGUCUGAACCAGCCAAGUAGCGUGAAGGAUGACUGCCCUAUGGGUUGUAAACUUCUUUUAUAAAGGAAUAAAACGAGGCACGUGUGCCUUUUUGCAUUUACUUUAUGAAUAAGGAUCGGCUAACUCCGUGCCAGCAGCCGCGGUAAUACGGAGGAUCCGAGCGUUAUCCGGAUUUAUUGGGUUUAAAGGGAGCGUAGAUGGGUUGUUAAGUCAGGUGUGAAAGGUUGCGGCUCAACCGUAAAAUUGCAAUUGAUACUGGCAGUCUUGAGUACAGUUGAGGUAGGCGGAAUUCGUGGUGUAGCGGUGAAAUGCUUAGAGAUCACGAAGAACCCCGAUGGCGAAGGCAGCAUACCGGCGCCCAACUGACGCUGAAGCACGAAAGCGUGGGUAUCGAACAGGAUUAGAUACCCCAGUAGUC